GAAAUGCGAUAAGUAAUGUGAAUUGCAGAAUUCAGUGAAUCAUCGAAUCUUUGAACGCACAUUGCGCCCGCCAGUAUUCUGGCGGGCAUGCCUGUUCGAGCGUCAUUUCAACCAUCAAGCCCCGGGCUUGUGUUGGGGACCUGCGGCUGCCGCAGGCCCUGAAAAGCAGUGGCGGGCUCGCUGUCACACCGAGCGUAGUAGCAUACAUCUCGCUCUGGGCGUGCUGCGGGUUCCGGCCGUUAAACCUCCUUCGUAACCCAAGGUUGACCUCGGAUCAGGUAGGAAGACCCGCUGAACUUAAGC
Molecule: unclassified non-coding RNA, 303 nt
Filed under: plant metagenome
Description: partial contains 5.8S ribosomal RNA, internal transcribed spacer 2, and large subunit ribosomal RNA
Rfam family: 5.8S ribosomal RNA (bases 1-105)
Source: RNAcentral